UACGGAGGGUGCAAGCGUUAUCCGGAUUCACUGGGUUUAAAGGGCGCGUAGGCGGCCAUGCGUGUCUUCCGUGAAAUCCCUCGGCUUAACUGAGGACGUGCGGAAGAAACUGCAAGGCUCGAGUCCGGGAGAGGGGGGUGGAAUUCCCAGUGUAGCGGUGAAAUGCGUAGAUAUUGGGAGGAACACCGGUGGCGAAGGCGGCCCCCUGGACCGGUACUGACGCUGAGGCGCGAAAGCGUGGGUAGCAAACGGG
RNAcentral lists this ribosomal RNA (253 nucleotides) under uncultured bacterium. RNAcentral's name for it is "partial 16S ribosomal RNA". It matches the Rfam family "Bacterial small subunit ribosomal RNA", at positions 524 to 776 of the family's 1533-position model. The record is from RNAcentral.